Non-coding RNA from Myodes glareolus (Bank vole), 567 nucleotides. Lineage: Eukaryota; Metazoa; Chordata; Mammalia; Rodentia; Cricetidae. The record is from RefSeq and is a predicted model, not a curated record.
CCUUGCGAGUCAGUUCAGGGGUGCAGCUCUAUUCUGCUUACCAGCUCCCCCUUCCUCCAGCCUCCCCACAGACCAUGAAUGCUCUGCUCAGGAUCCAAGGCUGGUGCCAAUUACAAAAGGACUCUUAACUCCAUUUUCGCAGCCCCUUGAUUGAUAGCACUGGCUCACAGGCUCAUGGCUGAGGAGACACCUAGGCUGACCAUUGGCGACUAUGUCUGUCUUCUGUCCUUCAUGAAGAAGGAAUCUGAGUCUUCCUGACCCUGGCUCAAUGUGCUGCGACACAGAAACCAGAAGAUAUUAGUGACAGCGGUACCAUGGACGGAAUAUGGCUACCCUGCUGGUCUAAAGAGCAAAGCUGGAAUCUUGGUGUCCUCCUGACAUUGACUCCACUGGGAGCUUCCAAUUAGGGCAUGGAAGCGCUUCAGCAUGACACGGAGAUGCCAGGACAUGGGGCAGCACGCUGGUUUCUUGUCUGAGAGUGCGCCUGGUGCCACACUUCUGAUGGGCCAGCUGGCUGUGUGCAGCUGAGUGCUGAGGGCUUUCCACAGCAGGGCCCGUGGAGGUUAG